UGAAGAAUGUGUUAAGAGUACUAUGCAGACAGAUGGGUCGUCUUGUGGUUUGUGGAUGUUAAACUUCAUGGAGUACUGGACGGGAGAUAUUUUGUCCGACAUUCCUAAUCAGGAUAAUAUAACACAAUUUAGGACAAAAUUAGCUGUCAUUUUAGUUGACUCGGAA
This is a long non-coding RNA of Brachypodium distachyon (stiff brome), 166 nucleotides long. RefSeq lists it as uncharacterized. The record is from RefSeq and is a predicted model, not a curated record. The transcript has 3 exons. NCBI's taxonomy places the organism in Eukaryota, Viridiplantae, Streptophyta, Magnoliopsida, Poales, Poaceae.